AUUGAACGCUGGCGGCAGGCUUAACACAUGCAAGUCGAGCGGGGGAAGGUAGCUUGCUACUGGACCUAGCGGCGGACGGGUGAGUAAUGCUUAGGAAUCUGCCUAUUAGUGGGGGACAACAUCUCGAAAGGGAUGCUAAUACCGCAUACGUCCUACGGGAGAAAGCAGGGGAUCUUCGGGCCUUGCGCUAAUAGAUGAGCCUAAGUCGGAUUAGCUAGUUGGUGGGGUAAAGGCCUACCAAGGCGACGAUCUGUAGCGGGUCUGAGAGGAUGAUCCGCCACACUGGGACUGAGACACGGCCCAGACUGCUACGGGAGGCAGCAGUGGGGAAUAUUGGACAAUGGGGGGAACCCUGAUCCAGCCAUGCCGCGUGUGUGAAGAAGGCCUUAUGGUUGUAAAGCACUUUAAGCGAGGAGGAGGCUACUUUAGUUAAUACCUAGAGAUAGUGGACGUUACUCGCAGAAUAAGCACCGGCUAACUCUGUGCCAGCAGCCGCAGUAA
RNAcentral lists this ribosomal RNA (501 nucleotides) under uncultured bacterium. Its description in RNAcentral is "partial 16S ribosomal RNA". It matches the Rfam family "Bacterial small subunit ribosomal RNA", at positions 30 to 523 of the family's 1533-position model. The record is from RNAcentral.